Dothistroma septosporum NZE10 is the source of this 85-nucleotide small nucleolar RNA. NCBI's taxonomy places the organism in Eukaryota, Fungi, Ascomycota, Dothideomycetes, Mycosphaerellales, Mycosphaerellaceae. The record is from Rfam.
CUCAUAUGAUGAUCGGUUUUGUCCAGUUCUGCUACCGAAAGAACAAUGUGGAUACUUACAACCAGCUUACCAAAAUGACUGACAU